UUUUUUCUUCAUAGGAUUUUGGGAAGACUGAGGCAAUCGUUGCUGAAGUCAGUGUUGUAAUGGUGAAUCAAAAUUUUUAAUGAAGUAAGUUUGAUUACUCUUGACUGUUUUGUGAAAUCAAAAUUACGUCUGUGAUUGAAGAAUUAAAAGGGUGUCUAUAGGAUUGAAUAUGCAGAGUGAAUGAAAUUUAUUGGAUUAAUCUAACGAGACAAUCAAUGGAUAUAAGAUCGUGAGUAUAAAGUGGUAUCGAAGAUUAGCAGUUUGGAUUGUUCGGGGAUCUUUGUAACGUCUAGAGACCUACCGGUUGGGGCAAAAAGGACUUCG
RNAcentral lists this long non-coding RNA (324 nucleotides) under Physcomitrium patens. Its description in RNAcentral is "long non-coding RNA (PPAT_LNC001831)". Lineage: Eukaryota; Viridiplantae; Streptophyta; Bryopsida; Funariales; Funariaceae. The record is from RNAcentral.